This 253-nucleotide ribosomal RNA is filed under the name uncultured bacterium. Its description in RNAcentral is "partial 16S ribosomal RNA". It matches the Rfam family "Bacterial small subunit ribosomal RNA", at positions 524 to 776 of the family's 1533-position model. The record is from RNAcentral.
UACAGAGGUCCCAAGCGUUGUUCGGAUUCACUGGGCGUAAAGGGUGCGUAGGUGGUGAGGUAAGUCGGAUGUGAAAGCUCGGAGCUCAACUCCGAAAUGGCAUUGGAAACUACCUUGCUCGAGGGUUGGAGGGGGGACUGGAAUGCUUGGUGUAGCAGUGAAAUGCGUAGAUAUCAAGCGGAACACCAGUGGCGAAGGCGAGUCCCUGGACAACUCCUGACACUGAGGCACGAAAGCCAGGGGAGCAAACGGG